This 374-nucleotide long non-coding RNA is filed under the name Homo sapiens (human). RNAcentral describes it as "HSALNT0002282". The record is from RNAcentral. Lineage: Eukaryota; Metazoa; Chordata; Mammalia; Primates; Hominidae.
GUGAGCCAAGAUCGUGCCACUGCACUGCAGCCUGGGCAACAGAGCAAGACUCCGUCUCAAUAAUAAUAAUAAUAAUGAUACAGAUUAAUAAUAGGUGGAGACUUUUUAGAAUUGGAAUCUUAGACUUUUGGGAACUUCACAUCUCGAAGAGACCUUAAUGUUUCAGGGAUCCAGGGACCUUCAUGCAAGGUCCAUCCUGGAGGGCCUGGGUUUCUGGGAGGUGCCUCUAGAGGAUGGGGUAGGGAGUGCAGGAAGCAGGGUGCAAGUCUCCACCUUGAGGCCUGCUGAGCAGCUGCAUUUGGGUCUGGUUUAUAUAUUCAGCUUCUCUGCUUAGAGUAAUACAAGGGUUCUGUUACUUCCAAAGCUGAGUGAGG